Suncus etruscus (white-toothed pygmy shrew) is the source of this 432-nucleotide non-coding RNA. RefSeq annotates it as small Cajal body-specific RNA 2. The record is from RefSeq and is a predicted model, not a curated record. The transcript has a single exon. Lineage: Eukaryota; Metazoa; Chordata; Mammalia; Eulipotyphla; Soricidae.
CAUAAUAAAAAUGAGCUUCUAUUUCAGAAUGCUUAAGGAAUCUGAAAAAUAUUGAUGUAUAGUAAAAAAAAAAUACAUAAACUAGGGGCAGUGCAACCUGGGGUGUGGUGAUGAGUGUGUGAGCAUGAGUGUGCAAGGCAAGUAUGUUAGCCCACCCCAGCGACCCUCCCCACCUACUCCUUGAUCUUAUUGGAUCAGGUAAAACCCCCACCCUCAGCUCCACCAGUGUUGAUCCGGGAUGAGAAAAAUCUCCCUUCUGCGAACCCCCUGCUUGGGCCCUGUGCAGUGAGACCUUCUGGAGGCUAGUUCAGUCCCAGCCCAGAGUUGGUUCCGAAAAGGUCUUGUGCUCGGAAAUGAUGAACUGAUCAGAUAAACGAGACCUGGAGGUUCGCCUCCCGGGUUACUGAUUUAUCAAAGAGGUUUCUGAUCUGA